ACUCAAAUGAAUAGACGGGAGCUCGCACAAGCGGUGGAGCGUGUGGCUUAAUUCGUCGCUAAACGAAGAACCUUACCAAGAUUAGACAUCCUACUGCACGCCCUAGGAAACUAGGGAAGCCUUCGAGGGUGUAGGACAGGUGAUGCACGGCUGUCGUCAGUUCGUGGUUUGAAUCGUUCCCUUCAGUGGGGUAACGAACGCAACCCUCGUUGCCAGUUACAAGUGUCUGGCGAGACUGCCCCCUCACGGGGGAGGAAGGUGAGGAUGACGCCAAGUCAGCGUGUCCCUUUGAUAUCUUGGGCCGCACACGCGCUACAAUCGCCGUUACAAAAGGACGCAAUGCCGUAAGGCGGAGCAAAUCCCAAAAAGCGGCGCCAGUUCGGAUUGAGGGCUGCAACUCGCCCUCAUGAAGCCGGAAUCGCUAGUAAUCGUAGGUCAGCUAUACUACGGUGAAUACGUUCUCGAGCUUUGUACACACCGCCCGU
RNAcentral lists this ribosomal RNA (485 nucleotides) under uncultured bacterium. Its description in RNAcentral is "partial 16S ribosomal RNA". It matches the Rfam family "Bacterial small subunit ribosomal RNA", at positions 899 to 1397 of the family's 1533-position model. The record is from RNAcentral.